UCCAUUGCUGUGUCAGUCUUCAACUGUUCACUAUUUCGACCUGCAAUGGAUCGCUUCCGAACAGCCUUUUGUAGUGUUUUGCUGUUAACAGCAAGUUCCGUCUUUUGUACCGCAAACCUUAUGGGUAGUUCUGGGUUCGACUUUGAAUUACCGGAAGUGAGAGUAGAAUCUCCACUACCAGUAAGCACGUCGAGCAUUCAAACGCUGGAACAGCUGAGAAAUUCCCAGCAUAUCUACGGUUCUUGUGAUGAGGUUCCAUCGAAUUCGUCCGGGGUGUACAGAAUAUACGCCAAUCUGGACGAAACUGCUGUAGUUUACUGUGACCAAGAGUACGAAGGCGGUGGUUGGACGGUGGUCAUGAACCGGUUUGAUGGGUCCGUCUGUUUUGAUCGCCCUAGGGAACAAAUAUCUUGGAGGUUUUGGAAGAUUCGAUAGCGGAGAAUUUAUGAUGGGACUGAACCUACUUUAUCUGCUGACAAAUCUGGCACCGCACGAAAUGGUUGUUCUGUUCGAAGACUUUAGCGGUGCAUCUAUGAAGAGCAGAGCGGAUCGGUUUAUAUUAAAUGAAGGACAAAGAAUAUCAACAGAUUCAGGUUUAAACCUAGAAGAUUUUUCGAGCGAAUGGAGCGACAAUAAAGAUCCUAACAACACUAUAAGAUUCAAUCUGUUUGGAUACUAUAGAAAAGGAAAUGUAAAUGCAGGACCAUCUGAUAUGCGAUGGGCGGAUUCAAACAACAACCAAUUCUAUUUAAAAUCUUGCAGAAUUAUGAUAAGGAAAACAAAAACUUCUUAACUGUGAUAGGGAUUGUGCAAAAUAAUGGUAAAAAUAAAAGUCUCCCUGAAAGUAUGUAUUGGAAUGUA
Aedes aegypti (yellow fever mosquito) is the source of this 861-nucleotide long non-coding RNA. RefSeq lists it as uncharacterized. The record is from RefSeq and is a predicted model, not a curated record. Lineage: Eukaryota; Metazoa; Arthropoda; Insecta; Diptera; Culicidae. The transcript has 2 exons.